AUACCGGCCCUUUUCAGGGCCACCCACUUCAUCCAGAAAGUGCUGU
Branchiostoma floridae (Florida lancelet) is the source of this 46-nucleotide non-coding RNA. Lineage: Eukaryota; Metazoa; Chordata; Leptocardii; Amphioxiformes; Branchiostomatidae. The record is from Rfam.